Molecule: long non-coding RNA, 18505 nt
Filed under: Phoenix dactylifera (date palm)
Lineage: Eukaryota; Viridiplantae; Streptophyta; Magnoliopsida; Arecales; Arecaceae
Description: long non-coding RNA (PDAC_LNC004316)
Source: RNAcentral
UUUAUGGGAUUUUUCUCAAGGAUUUCAUUUCCGGUUUUUGUGGUUUUAGUUAACGUAGUGACUUGUUUUAAUUAGAAUUAGAUAUGAGUUUCUCUUUUAUUCUUUUGGAUAGUUUCCUACUGAUUUGUGCUGGUUUUGAUUGAAAUAUGUCUUGGAUAGUUUCUUUCAAGCCUAAGUUUCAGUUUCUCUUGAAUUUUUGGGGAUUCGGGUGCAUUUUAUUUUCUCAAGGUUUAUUAUCAUGAUUAUCUUCUGUUGAAUGUUGAAUUUUUUUGAAGUUUAGAAUUGGGUCUGUUUUAUUUGGAAUUGUAGGUUUUCACGAGGAUUUAAACCAGGUUUUACUGUGCUUUGAAUGCCGGAGGUAACUUGUAGGAGGUUUAUCUGCAAAUUUUUUACCUUUUUCUUUCAAUACCUUCUUUGGCUGUUUCAUUUGAAUUUAUUGUUUUCAAGAUAAUUACCACAAUUUUCUGCUGUGAUAAUGGUUUUCUGGAUUAUUUUUUCCAGGAUUUUUUGUUUACUGUGCUGUUGUUCAGAAGGAACCUUGUUUUGUUUUCUCAGCUAAUGGCUUCUUCCAAUUAAUAUUUUAAAUAUUUUUCCUAUAGUUUUUUCUCAAUGGUAUUAUGAGGAUUUUUUGCUUUCCUUAUGGUUUCUAUCGAGGUUGUCCUUAAACAUGGUUUAUGAAUUGGCUGUUUCAGGUCUCUGUUUUAUUUUAUGGAGCAAUGUUAUAAUUUGAUGUAGAGUUUCUAUUUCUCCCCUUGUUUGUGAUUCUCUACCUUGCUCAAUCUUGUAUCUGGAAUCAUAUGUUCUCUUAUUUCCUGGCCUUAUCUCUUUUUUAAUUGUAAAAAAUAUCUUUUUCUGGGUUUGUUUGGAUACUUCAGUAGGAUUUGGCUGAAUUUUCUACGGAUGCAUGGUAGAAAGCCUAUUUAAGCAUAGCCCUGUAUCAACUCGACACCCUCCAACCUGAAAAUAAACCUACAGUCUGGAAUUUAGGCUAAAAUUUUGGCGGGUUCUUAGAAGAUGUGAGCUCUGUAGGCCAACAAAUCAGAUUUUUAUAGAAUAUUUCCAUAAAAAUAUCCAAACAAGCCCUUCAUAGUUUAUAUUUUAUCUGCAUGCAUGUGUGCAUCUUAUAUCAUUACUUUCAUUUCUUGUUUCCAAUUAUUGUAGUCAUUGCUUACAAUCUGAUACUGAUUGUAAACCUUGUUUGAUGUUUUCCCAUCUUUGUUACCUAAUGAGCAUUCUUUUGAUUAUUUUGAUCUUCUCAAUCCUCUCUCUCUCUCUCUCUCUCUACUUUUACUAGUUGCAUAGUCUAUCUGCACAGUUUACUUCUGUACUUUUUACCCCUUUCCCCUACCUUCUCAUCCUAUGAAUUAUUCUACCAUCCUUUUGAGAGAUCUCUUGUUAGUUUCUACAAGUUUCUUCCAACUAACCUCUUCCUUUCUUUUUAAUUUCCUUCAGGGUUGUCAUUGACAACGACGCUUCAGAUGAUGCAACUGUUAUUCAGGUAAAGUUGGAAUCCUCUGAUGACUUUGCACGUAAGCUAUUAAUAGGGAACCUGCAAUCUAGAUUAGUACUCUAAAUUGUUAUUCCUCUUCUAAUAGGUGGAUAGUGUAAAUAAACAUGGAAUCCUCCUAGAAGUUGUACAAGUCCUCACAGAUCUCAACCUCAUAGUCACCAAAGCAUACGUAUCAUCUGAUGGAAAUUGGUUCAUGGAUGGUAGGCUUUUCCACCAUGUAUAUACUUCGAAGAAUAUCCCGACAGCUCGUACCAUGACUUUUGAUGGAAUUUGCUGACUUAAUUGUCUUUUUCUAAUGGGAUGUCAGUGUUCAAUGUGACUGAUCGCAAUGGGAACAAACUCAGGGACAAAGAGAUCCUCAACUACAUACAAAAAGUAAGCAAACUAGUAGUGGUUUUGUGACCUUUUCUUCUUGUGUGUCCAUGGCAUCACUGAGAUGCUCUUCAUCAUAAUUUUAAUCAUAUCUGCAUGCUUGAAGUCAGAUUGUUUAGAGUCAUUGUUAAGAGGGCUAAUGUAGAACAAACCAUCCAAAUUGUGCAAUGAGAGAAUUUGGCAUAGUUCCACAGCAUCUCACUUCUAUCAGUACCAUCUUUUCUUUCCAUUACAUGGAUGAAAUGGUUCUCUUCCUUCAAACAAAGAUAUCUUUCAGCUUUGGAUCCGACAGUCCUCCCAUGUUGACCUUUUGUUCCUUUUGCACUGGUUUGAAUAAUUUUCUUGCAGUCCCUAGAAUCAGACGCCUGCAUCUUACCAUCGCUGAGAAGCUCGGUCGGCGUAAAGCCCUCGAACGAAUAUACCUCGAUCGAGCUAACGGGCACCGACAGGCCUGGCUUACUCUCUGAAGUCUGUGCCGUACUCACAGACCUCAAGUGCAAUGUAGUGAAAGCUGAGGCCUGGACACACAAUACCCGAGCUGCAGCUGUAGUUCAUGUGACUGAUGAGUCCACAAGGAGUGCAAUUGAGGACCCAAAGAGGCUCUCCACCGUAAAGGAGCUGCUCUUCAAUGUUCUUACGUGGGACAAGGACUCAAGGAGAGCCAAGAUGAGAGUCUCAAUGGGAGGCACCCACACAGAGAGGAGGUUACAUCAGAUGAUGUUCGACGACAGGGAUUAUGAGAGUGUUGGACUGGUGGAAGAAGGGGACAAGAAGUCAAGGCCUCAAGUUGCUGUCAUGGACUGCACAGAGAAGGACUAUUCCAUCAUUAUUUUGAGGUCCAAGGAUCGGCCAAAGCUCUUGUUUGAUACUCUCUGCACUCUCACAGACAUGCAGUACGUGGUGUUCCAUGGAACAGUCAAGACGGGAAAUUCUGAAGCUUAUCAGGUUUGAAAGGCCCUUCCUUGAUGCAGAUGUAUCCCAACUAUCAAAAAUAUUUUGAGACUCUUUUGAUUUGGUAACGAAGUGUUGAUAGUUGUAAACUUUAGUUAUUCAAUUGCUUUCACUGGUUAACAUAAUAAUUCAUGGAGUUAUCGAAGUCAUAUCUUGUUUGAUUACAGGAGUACUACAUUAGGCACAUUGAUGGGCACCCGGUGAAUUCCGAAGCCGAACGACACCGCCUGAUCCAGUGUCUUGAAGCAGCUAUCGAGAGGAGAGCCUCAGAGGUAUGUUUUUCCUAAAAUCAAGAAUAAGCUGAUGAANNNNNNNNNNNNNNNNNNNUUCUAUCUAUUUAACUAUUUGUCUGGUUUGCAGGGAUUGGAGUUGGAACUAGUAACAGAAGACAGGAGUGGACUCCUUUCUGAUAUCACUCGGAUAUUCCGGGAGAAUGGCCUGUGCAUCAGAAGAGCGGAGAUCUCGACAAAGGGUGGCAAAGCAGUGGACACUUUCUCUGUCUCAGAGAUGUCAGGCAGCCCUGUGGAUGCCAAGAUAAUUGACUCGAUUCGCAGGCAGACAGGCCAGAUGAUCCUAAGAGUGAAACAGAGCCCUUUACCUUCCAAGCCUUCUGAGGAGACAAGCACCACUGGAUUCCUCCUUGCGAAUUUCUUCAAGGGAUGCUCAUUUCACAGUUUUCGGUUGAUCCGAUCCUACUCAUGAACUAAGAUGGCAAGAUAAAUUACAUAGAGCAGCACAUCUCUGAAUCACUUACUUGUAAAUAUGUUGCAUUACCUUCAAAAGAAGAAAGAAUGAAUUUCACUUCUUAAUCGAGGGUUAUUUUCUUAGAAGAAAUUUAAGUCCGUAAGAGUAGGUGGAACUAAUCCCACCGAGCACGAACCAAUGGACUUUUCCGACGGUAGUCAACUUCUUUGACUAUAGGCUGUGAGGUCAGUUAAUAUAGUUAUAGUUCAGUUGUCACUUUCUUUAUCAAGUAAGUGAGUUGAGCGGAGGAAGUCGCCUUAGGGCGUGGGGUCCUCUCAAACGGCACGGCCUUGUUUACUCCCUCCCUCAAGAUCGGUCGAGUUGGCACGGGAUAAAACAAGAUAAAGAGUUUUUUUAUUAUGAUUCGACAUAACAUAAACGAUAUAUAAUGAUGUGAUCUGCUAGAAAUCUUAGUCUUGAAUUCUGUAAUUAUUGACUUGUAAAUAAAUUCUACUUUGGGCUGUAAGGAUGUACAUAUUCUAUCUUACCAAAAAAAGCAUUACGAAAACCUGUUCAUGAUUUGUUUUGGUUUGUUGGUUCCAUCUCAUACAACAUUAGUUUCUUAAGCAAAGGGCUUGACAUUUUUUCCCCUCUUUUUUCGUAGGAUAAAUUUGGUUCUCAGUUAGAAGAAACAAAAACAUAUUUUGUAAGCAUGCAUAGAAGAAAGUCAUUUUGAGUUCAAUGGACCAAGUGAUGUCUCUCUUUGUGAUUGAAGGCAAUGUGCCAUGUUCUUCAGUGGGAGCCUGAGAUUGGAAGCAGCCUAUGGACAAUGGGUAUAAAUGUACUGGAUAGUUAAUGCCUCACUGAACGGUGUAUUGAAGGAGAAAAAUCAUUAGAGUAAACAAUGCCAAUUCCAUGUUUAAGGAAUUUAAAACCACAUUCAAUUAUUCAAAAUAUUAUACUGCAUCUUUUUCCUUCAAUAGAUAUAACUUUCUUUGCCUGUUUUUUUUUUGGUAGCAAGAGAUGAGGCUCAAAGACAUCGACACCCGAUUACAUUAAGCCACUGAAAUCAGUAGCACAGAAAAGUUUGGAAAAAAAAUGUAAAGGAAAACUUAGUACGUACAGAAAGCCGGGGGAAGGAAAAAAGAAGAAAACUUAGUUUGUACACCCUAUAAUGGCAUACAUUCUGCCAAUAGUAAAUAGCUAAAUCAUCCUUAACUAUAAACCCAGCAGCAGCCACAUCAAUUGCCUUGUGAGUCCCAUCAAAGUUCAUCUUGAGAUAACUACUGGUUAUGGAGUAUCCAAUAAAACCAAACAAGACAGGAAAAAUAUGGAGAACAGACAUCCGAUGCCACCACUUCGAACAUCACCUAGUUGGAAAGUAUUUUUUGAUUCUGUAUAAAUAUCCAAGAUCUACCCAGUAUAUAGCUAAUAUCAGGGGCGGUCCAAUACAUUUGGAGGCCUAAAGCGGAUUCAGUGAAUAAGGCCUUUUUUUAAUAAUAAAAAAUUUUAAUAAAUAUAAAAUACUUAGAAAAAAGAUAUGAAAAUAGAUAGCCAUCAAGUACAUUAUUUCAACAAGAAUGCAUGUAAGCAACAAAGACAUAUAAAAACCUUUUCAGUUUAAUAUAAUUUUUGAAUGAAAGCACGGAAAAGUAAUUAUACUUAAGAAAGAGCCCAUAAAAUUGAUUAAAUAACUGAGAUAAUGCUUCGCAGUACUGUUUACAUGUCAAGCAAGAGCAGACUAGGAAAAGAUUAUCCCAUGGCACUUCAUGGCCAAGGUAAAGAAAAGAAUUUGUCUAGAAAAGAACCUCUCUAUGAGAAAAAAUAGGGGUAUUAUGGAAAAUUCACUCUNNNNNNNNNNNNNNNNNNNNNNNNNNNNNNNNNNNNNNNNNNNNNNNNNNNNNNNNNNNNNNNNNNNNNNNNNNNNNNNNNNNNNNNNNNNNNNNNNNNNNNNNNNNNNNNNNNNNNNNNNNNNNNNNNNNNNNNNNNNNNNNNNNNNNNNNNNNNNNNNNNNNNNNNNNNNNNNNNNNNNNNNNNNNNNNNNNNNNNNNNNNNNNNNNNNNNNNNNNNNNNNNNNNNNNNNNNNNNNNNNNNNNNNNNNNNNNNNNNNNNNNNNNNNNNNNNNNNNNNNNNNNNNNNNNNNNNNNNNNNNNNNNNNNNNNNNNNNNNNNNNNNNNNNNNNNNNNNNNNNNNNNNNNNCUAUGAUCGUGCAAGUUAUAUGAAAUCAGUAGCACCUGGGUAGGGUUGGCUCAGCUUAGAGGCUUAAAGAAAGGAAAACUGGAGUUGUGGAAAAAUUCUCUCUUUCAAUCUAUUUUGGUGAGGAGGUCUACAUAUUCUUUUAUAGUGUAUUUGUACAACUACUUACAAUGGUAAACCAGUGAGUACACCUUAUGAGCAUGGUUUGAACUUGAAGUGCAAUAAAGGUGAUCCAGUGGCCCAAGAGAAAUAUGCUCAAAUUAUUGGGACACUGAUGUAUGUUGCAAAUACAAGUAGACCUGACAUUUCUUAUGCUAUAGGAAAGCUUAGUAGGUUUAAUAGUUGCCCUAGUCUUAGUCACUGGGAAGCACUGGAUAGAGUACUUAGAUACUUGAGAGGUACAAUGUAUUAUGGUUUACAUUACUCAAGAUUUUCCACUAUACUUGAAGGAUACAGUGAUUCUAGUUGGAUCAUUGAUUCAGUGAAUCGAAAAGGAACUAGUGGAUACAUAUUCAUGUUAGGUGGUGCNNNNNNNNNNNNNNNNNNNNNNNNNCAAACUGUGAUCACAAGAUCCACUAUGGAGGCUGAGAUUGUAGCCUUAGAUUCUGCAAGUCAAGAAGCAGAAUGGUUUAAGAAUCUUAUGUCUGAAAUACCUAUUAUGAAAAAGCCUAUACCUGCUAUCUCUUUGUUAUGUGAUAAUGAAGCUGUAAUUAAUAUUUGUAAAAAUACUGAGUAUAACAAGAGAAACAGAAGACACAUUAGUGUGAGACAUAAGACUAUUAGAUAGUUAAUUAAAAAUGGUAUCAUAACUUUGGAAUUUGUUAGAUCUAAAGAUAACCUAGCAGAUUCUUUAACUAAAGGACUGGCUAGAAGCAAAGUCAUAGAAACAUCAAAGGGGAUGGGACUGAAAUCCAUAAGAAAUCAUUGACAAUGGCAACCCAACCUAUUCUGACUGGAGAUCCCAAGACGAAAGGUUCAACGGGAAAAACAAGUUGUUUAAUGAUUAGUUAGCACUAUUAUAAAAUGACUUUAUGUCAUUUGGUCUCUCCCUAUGAUAUGAGUGCUAAACACAGCAGAGGUAUACGGAAGAGUUUAAAACUCUGAAUGAGUUCGAGUCUAUGGCAAGGUGCUGUGCUGCGAGCACCCUUGGAGGACUCACCUAUGUGAGUGUGACUAUGUGGCUGCAGUUUAUGGGGAUAAGGGUAUAACCCCUAGAGCACUCAUGAAAUUGAGAUAUUGGUGCAUGAGGCCAGGAAAAGCACCACUUGUGAUGAACCUAGUAUUUGCAUUUGUGAUGGUUGAAGUAUAUAGAAAUCUGAACCAAAGGAUUUGGUUCAAAGCUUUUAGCUACCACUAUACUUUUCAGAUGAAAAUAUACUUUUACUAGGUAAAGAUUCAAAGCCGCAAGCUACCUUUAUUGAAGUCAUGACAUAAACAAGCCCGGUUUGACUAUUUUUAUUUUAUAAAGUUUUGAAAACAUUUUAAUCAGGUGGGGGAAUGUUAGAUUUUUAUUAAAUAAUGAUUAAAAGUUUUCAUACUUAAAAUAUAUAUAUUAUGUAUAUGGGUUAAGAAGGGAGUGUGGUGUGGAUGGUUGGUGUGUCGGUUUGAGGUGCAUGAGGUUGUUGGUUCGAAUCUCUCUUCCCUCCUUUUUAAAAUUCUCAUAUGGAGGAUUUAUUUACGUGAAGGAGAGGCAGCUUGGUUAUGUUGCUCGGUUCUCUGUGCCUGUGCUCGUCCGACCCGAGGGGCCCUGCUCGUCCGAGGUUCCUUGCGCCUCACAGGCCCUGCUCGUCCGAGGUUCCUUGCGCCUAUGCGACCAGAAGUUCGUUGCGCCUGUGCUCGUCCGACCCACCUCGUGCACGUACUCGUCCGAAGCACGAAGAGCCGAGGUCGGACCAUAAGUGCAGUGAGCCAAGAGGUGUGUGGCGAAGAGCCACGUCGUUUCCUCGCUUGCAUCUCUUCGCAACCGACCUCGCAUCCGCUGACCCUACUCCCAGUGUUAUUUUCAAACUUUAUUACCAGUUUUGACCGUUGGACCGGUUUUUGGUCGCGUCUGUCCCGAAGAAGUCUAUAAAUAGACCUCUUCGAAUUAGACAGAAGAUACAAUCGAAAGCAGAGAACUUCUAUUCUCCCUUUCUGCUAUUUUUUUAUCAAUCAACGGGCUUGCUGCAUACUGAUUCUGGGUUCGAAGGCUUCUUUGAUCCGUGCAAAUCAUUGAGGCAGAAGGAACAGUGCGAGAGGCUGUUGUAUCUCAGGAGUAGAACGCCAUCCAAGCCUAGUACACUGUAAGGCGGCGAAAUCUACUUCAAGGAAAGUGACCAACAUAUCACGCCUCAGCAUCUCGGAUUCCAUUUUUCCACUUUCUCUAUUUAUUUUCUCUAAGCCUAUUUCUGCCUAUUAUUUGUUGAAGUAGAGUAUUUUAGAUUUAAAAUUUUUUGGGACAGUUUAUUCCCAACAGGACCUCCAGUUAAGUUCCACGGCCUCCCUACUCUCUUCCCUGGCGGAGCCAUGAUCGCCAAUGAGCGGCCGCCGCCACUGAUAGUCCACCACCUCCAGCCACCGUCCACUCCGUUCCUUCCCUGUUUAGCAAGAAAGAAAAAACAGAAAGAAAGAAGAGAAGAAGAAGAGGAGGAGAGAGAGAGAGCCAUCCCUCUUUUGUUUCUCUCUCAUAUUUUCUCUCUUCCUUCUCUCUCACCUCCCUAUUUCUCUCUCUAAGAAGACCUAUGGAUCUAUGAAUCGAGUCCUAUCUUUCUAUCUUAUGGACACGAAUUGACCGAUGCAAAGGGUUAUGAUUUACCCUGGUGCCCGGGCAGCUUGCCAGACCAAUCACCCCAGUCCUGUUAAGUGCCUAUGAAACCCAGUAUUGAUGAACCCUAUUAACUGACUUUGACCCAACUUAGUCCUUGACCCAUGAUUCAUUGAUCGUGUUGCUUAGACCGGAUCUAACCGGGCCACCAUUAUCCGACCAACCGUUUCUUUUGUCUUGUUAUUUCAAUACCAUUAAAGUUAUUGAACGGGAGUUAAUCUUACUCUUAAUAUCUUUAAUAGAUUUAGCUGGUUUGCUUAGUGAAGUUUGAAAGUCUAAGAUGAAAGAGGUAAGUAACCCUAACACUCCUUAUUAGUUUUCAAAUUUUUACUUAUUUUUUGGUAUUAUGAAAAUCCAAAAAUAGUAUUAAAUAUUGACGGUAUCAUGUUUUCUUAAAAUCAAGAAUUAAGCAUAUGAUAUUAUGAAACUCAAGAUUUAUUACGAAAUAAUGGUUCCAUGAUUAUUUUACCGUUAUGCACUAUUUAUGAACUAUGAAUUCCAUAUUUAUGAAAUUUGUAUUUUGUUUAAAAAAAUUAAUUUAAUGAUUAUUCUACUAUUAAAGGUUUAAUUAUGGACUACAAACUAUAUAGUCUUUUAACGAUUUAUUCUUGCAUGAUCUAAGAUAAUAUGAUUUAAGAAAUUAUGACUUAAGAAAAUCUGUUUUAAGAAAUAACUAUGGGCUCUCAGAGGGCUAUGUACGGCACUCGCCAGCGGGUUACAUAGCUUGGUAUACGGCCCUCGCCAGCGGGUUACGGUAACUUGGCAUACGACCCGGCCAAUGGGUUAUGGUAGUUGGCAUGAUAUUGAUUACAGCCCAGCGACGGGUAGAGAUGUUUUUUUUUGGUAAGUGUGGGUGGGUAGAGAUGUUUUUUUUUUUGGUAAGUGUGGGUGGAGAUGUUUCACAACCCAAGUUCAUCCACAAUGAAUCCGGUCGCUUUGAGUGUCGCUUUACAAGUGUCAGAAUUGGAGACUCUCCAGCUAUUAUGUUCAAAGGAAUGGAGGGCAGUUCAUUGGGUGUUUGGGCAGCUCAUGGGGAGGGGAGAGCAUAUUUCCCUGAUGAUGGCAUCCUAGAUCACGUCCUAAAGUCUAAUCUGGCCCCUCUACGGUAUUGCAACAAUGCUGGCAGCAUAACAGAGGUCUACCCUUUCAAUCCAAAUGGUUCUCCUCUGGGAAUUGCAGCCCUUUGUUCUCCUGAUGGGAGGCACCUUGCUAUGAUGCCCCAUCCGGAGUGUUGCUUCAUGAUGUGGCAGUUCCCAUGGUAUCCAAAGGAAUGGGAAAUUAACAAGAAAGGCCCAAGUCCAUGGUUACGGAUGUUUCAGAAUGCUCGUGAAUGGUGCACUUAAAACAGGUACUUUGAUUUAUGUCUUCCCUUAGUGUUUUGUUAUCUUAUCUUUUUAUAUUUUGGCUAAAUUUUCCUUUUCUCCAUAAUUUUCAGAUCUCUAGUUGGUGACAUUCAUGUCACCAUAUUUUUGUAUGAGCGAUUGAGAAAACUGCUUAAGCCUUGGACUAGAUUAAAUUCUGUUCCUCAUAAACGUUCUGCUUUUAAUAUCCCAGACUCUAAUUGGUUGGAAUUACAACUUUCUGCAGGGAACUCAUCUUAGACAUGGUAUUGAGGCUGAGAACAUUGGCGUCUGACUUCAAGCUCUUAAACUUCUUGCCGUGUAUUCCUGUUCUGGUACUUGAGAAAGUGGGAGUUCACAGGAGAUGUAUGCCAAGGAUACAACAGGAGGAUUUUUUUUCAUGGAAGAAAAUCUUGUUUUUUCACUGGGUCCCCGACAAAUAUAGUCAUGAUAGAUUUUGAAUUCCUUUUUGUGAAACUUCUUAUUAAUCUAUGUAGAAAAAGACAAGUUGACAGUUUUUCAGAUGAUUUGCUUCUGUUCUGUUUUUUCGUUUCUUGGAAGUAAGCCCAGGGGUUUCAGCAAAAGUAUGAGCUUUGAGAUACAAUAACAGAAAUAUUUCCCAACAAGUUUUGCUGUUAUUUCCUUUUCUGUAUUCUGAACUCGAACAUUUUAGAACAUAAGAAAACAGCGUCUGAUUAAUUUUUGUCCUCAUUGGCAUUAUUGUUGCUGCUUUUUUUUUUUUGAAUCUAACAGUUUCUUUCUUGUUCCUCAGAUGGAACGGAACCUGUUUUCUUGAAAACAAAUGGAGCUGACAAGAAGGUUACUUAUGAUUUUUCCAUGAUAGAAAUGAUCUUAGUUCUCAGAAAAUCCCAUUCCAAUACAGUGAGAGAUGCUUUAUUAUACCGAGUUCCUAGGAGAAGAUUGAAAUAUGCAAUGUAUAAUGAUGGACAGACAGAAUGUAUUAGUCAUGAUGCUUAGUGAAUGUUCAAGAGCUUAUUUUAUGCUUCUAAAUAUUAUCUACUUAUCUGUGGAACUGUGACAAGUUGAAUUGAAGCUUAGAAAAGUCAUCUUUUUUCUGUGAUGAAGAAACAGCGUGUUGGAUUGGUAAUUUUACUUGACUUGAGAAUUUUGGCAAUAUCAUAUAAUUGGAUGGAUUCAACCGCAAAACUGUUACAGUAUUUUCUAAUAUUGAAAAUCUUCUAGUUGAUCAUGAUAAAUCUGUCCUAACAAUUGAAUUAAUUGUUCUUAAGCAAUAACUGUCAAAGCCUGUUCAGUAAUAUUGAUUAUUUAUGGAAUAUACGUAUAUAUUAUAUUAUUGGUGUUAUGUUUAUGUCCCUCUCAUGCUUGCUGAUGUUAAAUGCACUUGCACAUCAAUAUAUACAAUUACUUGGAUUGUUUCAUUUGCUUUAUUCUAUUUUUCAACCUUUCCAAAAGUUUCGGAGGCUUUGACCAAUAUUUUGCAUUUCCUCGAAUUAGGUUCUUUCUCAUGCAAUGGAUAUUUAUUUGCAUGACACUCUGUAAUGAAUGCUAAACCCAAGAACCGUUUAUGGAGCUGUUGUCAAUAUGUGAAUACUUAUCCUGAACAGCUAUUGUAGUCUAGCCAGUGUAUGAAAUGAUUAUAAGUUUUGAUUAUCUAUUUCAUCCGAUCAUAAAUAAAGAUCUUUCUACUAUGUGUGUCUUCAAGUACUAGUUAUGAGGAUCUCUUUCAAGCUUAGACAGUCUAUUGUGUUAGUUUUUCUCCCACCUUUUUGUAUUUCUACUUCUUUUUACUUUGUUUCAUUUGUAAUUUCAGUUAAAGCUUUUUCUGCAGUCAUAAAUGAAACAUUUUAAAAUAAAAACACUGGUCAUGGCAUAUUGGUAGGAGAAUGAAAUUAUUAGUAAUAAUCUUUAAGUUGAUCUUGACUGCUAUAGGUUAAGCAUAAUUAUAUGCAAAAUUCCAUGAUGGCCAUCAGGUGCUGUUUUGUUCAAUUAUGACCAUGUAACUUUAAAAUGGACGAUAGUUGAGCUAAAUUAUUUGAAUGCAGAUUGUCUAAUGGGUCACUACCAUGAGAAUGUGGGUUCUUCAUGCUUAAUAUCAGGGCUGGUCGACUGGCUAAAAAGGCUAAGUAUAGAGAACAUGGUUGUAUGCCUCAUUGGAUAAUCAUGCACAGUUGACUGAAGAUGCCUGCAUAAGGUGCAGUUUACCACAUUAUAUUGUUGAUAUUUCUGUUUUUAGUGGGAGCAAUAGGGGUAUUUUUUGACUUACAAUCAAUUUUUUUGACUCACAAACAAAUUUAGGGGGACAAUAUUUGUUCUAUGAGAUAUUUUGAGAAAAUAUACAAGUUAUGAACUGCCUUUAACUGAAACACUUGAAUCUACCUUUAUGUAACUGCAAUGCAGAGUCGGAAAGUUCUGUUUGAGUUUGAUAUGAAAUUUGGCACCUGAUACUGUGGCUUUUGUUGGUAGAGACACUUACUUUUAACAUGCAUAUGAAUGGCUUCUCUCACUUGAGCCUAGACUGUGUCAUUAAUCAGAUAUUUGUCUGAUCCGUUGAGAAUUAUUAUAUGAACUUCAAUCCCGAUUUGCCCUCCUCAUUAAAUGGAGCAUGAAGAUAUCUUUAUUUUGAGAAUUUGGCAUUAUCUUCUUGUCUGGCAUCCUUUGUCAACAAUAAUGCCAUCACAUGCUGGAGUAUAAUGGUGUUAGCUAGAGAAAGCAUCAUCAUGAUACAAAAAAGCUUGUGUAUAAUUAUCAUUAACUUCCAUAUCUUUUCAGUUUUGAGCUAGACCAUCCUCGCAUCCACCAAUCUAAUGAACCUUACUCCUCUUACAUUCUAUUGUGCUAGUGCCCGUUUUUGUUUUCCUCUUGCUUAAUGAUGUCUCUGUGCACCUAGUUGCAUGUCAUUUCUCAUUCUUUCCUCUAGUGAGCACCCAAAACUCUUCCUUAUAAGGGUAGGUUGUUUCCUUGGUUUUAGUUCACAUAGGAAGGGUAGUUGUUGCUAUCAUUCUGCUUGAACCCCAACAUAGUUUGUGGCAUGCCACCUUUUUAGCUGUCUUUCCAAUUUUCUUUAGUAUAGAACAAGGUCUAUCCUCCUAUAGCCUUGGUACAUGGCUGGUAUGGACCCCAAUAGGGCUAUCUGAAACGCAAUGUUAUCUGGACUCUCAAAUUUUGGGUUUUGGCCAUAUCAGACACUUCGACCCUUGGGACAAUUGAUGACACUCCUUGCUUGUUACCAUCAAAUCACAAAGCCAUCAUCAUGAUGCAUCUACUUUUGUCACUUCUUUUUUAAUGAACAUAAUGAGCAUAAGUCUAGCUCUCUCUCUCUCUCNNNNNNNNNNNNNNNNNNNNUCUCUCUCUCUCUCUCUCUCUCUCUCUCUCUCUCUCUCUCUCUAUAUAUAUAUAUAUAUAUAUAUAUAUAUAUAUAUAUAUAUGCAUAUUUACACAUAGAUAUAUAUAAUUGACGUGUGUCCCUGUCAAAUUUUUAGAAGAUCUCUAUGUUGGAUUCUUCUUGGCACUUGGAUACUUGACCCCCAUGUCAUGUGUCCAGCUAGCAUUGCUGAAACAUGGCUUUCCUUCUGAACAUGUUAGUUUUGUUUGCUGUAAAUAAGUGUCCUUGCAAAUCUAAAGCUACCAACAAAUCCCCUUCAGCUACAGACUUGGUCUACAUUCUGAAUACAUACCUCUAUUGUAAUCAUGACCAAUUUCAAUUACAAUAUUUAGAGAUGAUGCCUUUCCAAAUGAUUUCUAGCAAUUAGGUUCCUGAGAUAGAGCUGUUACAGUUUAUUAGUAAUAUAAGUUGUACAAGGAAGAAUUUGGGCUCUCUCUGUUUUAACUCUCCAUGCAGGAUGCAAUUAUCUAAUUUUACAACACAUAUGGUUCAUGUACUGCAUCUUGCUAAUAUCAAGAUAUUUGUGGUAAAAUGUUAUAUUCUAUGGUGCACCCUUGUUUCCAUUCUGCCUUCAGAUGAUUCAUUAUCAGUACCUUUUUUUUUUUGUUGAUAGCUUGUAGGGAUCACUUUCCUUUCUACAUGAUGAGAGAUUCAUACUCAGUUUUUUCUAAAGCUCAUUAUUUGUUUUUUCAGCAUUCUUUUGUUAAACGGUCCUAUGCCUCUCUGACUAAAUCAGACCACCAAAAUGAGAUUAGGAUUUUAUAAUGGUAAGCAAUUAUUAUCAAAGUAUAGUUUUUUUCUGUGUAUUUUCUUCCUUCUUAUCUUGAAUAUUCUUAUUAGUUAAUGUCUUACUUUUUAAAUCCUUUCCUUGCAGAUACAUUGCAAGGGAACCCAAAAAUUGAUUUUCACAAGUAUAUGGUGCAAGCCUUUGAAGCUGAUUUCAGGAAAGCUGCUGGUAUAAGGUAAUUUAAAUUUAGUGUUUAGAUCAUUCAUUGAGCAUGGAGGUUAGUUUUUAUUAGAUCUAAGUUGGCAUUUGUUGGGGAAAAAUGGAGAAAUAUUACCUGAGAUUGUGUAGAAAUGGCCCCGAAAUAGUCUUAAUUAAGAAAGGUGGCAGAGUUGAGAUGCGGACCAGGUGACUCCCUUGAGAUGAUACGUGCUGUUUCGGAAUUUUUAGGUGCAGCAGAUCAAUAAUUUUUGCAUGCCAUCCUUAGGAUACAAGAAGCCUAGCCACUCAGCGGUAUACCUUACAAGUUCGCACCACUUGUAAGGUGCAAAGCUCUUCAAAUAGCACCUUCUUUACCAAAAUAAAAAUGCUUCACUAUUGAUGAAAAAAAAUAGGAAAAAUAUUUGACACAUGUCCAACUCGCAUGAUCAUGGUUGUUGAAAGAGAAAUCAAAGUCUCUUGGACUUUUCUCAUGAACAGGUUUAGAAAUAUAUUGAUUCUUAAAAUUUUGAUAAACCAUUACUUUGUUUGAUGUCUAUGAUAAGAUCUACAAGGCAGAUCUCACCGGUGGAUUGUUAGAAGAAGAGGGUGGAGAGAAAGAGAACAAGAGAGAGCGUGAGAAAGGUAGAGAGAGAGGGGGAGAGAGAGAGUACAUAGAAAAUUUUUGGGAUUGUUAUUCUUUUCUUCACUUGAAAACGAUUACAACUUUUAUAGAGGUCGGGCACCUCUAUGCCAACUAGACUCCUACCUAACUAGGCUCUUAUUAUAAUGAAAGACAACCAAAUAAAAGACAACUAAUUGACUAAAUAAGAAGGACAAGUGGAGGUGGCCUAAAUAAGAAGGACAACCAAAUAAAGACAACUAAUUGACUAAUCCCGAACUAAGGCAAUUAAUCUCUAAUUCUGUGCGAAUAAGGAAUCCGACGCCUCCUAUGGUAGACGUGCACAAAUGGAGGUGGGUGCAAAUCUUGGCGUCUAUCAUUUUCUUGCCCUUCGAGACGAACCUUGUCCUCAAAGUUCCAAUGAGAGAACUAUAACUUGAGCUUGUCAAACUCUUCUCAAGUAGCAUCUUUCUUGGGUAGGCCCAUCCAUUGAACGAGGGCCUCCUGCACAUAGACCCCUUUCUUUUUAACCUAACGGAAGUCAGAGAUCGCCAUUGGCUCCAAAACCAGUUUUCCUUGUGGAGAGAACGUGGGCAACUGAGGAAGCGCUCUACCUGCGUCUCCUAUUUGCUUCUUGAGCUGUGAGACAUGGAAAAUUGGGUGGAUUUGGGAGUCAUCCGGUAGCUUAAGCUUGUAUGCCACUGAUCCAAUCCUCUCGAUUACUUGGAAUGGUCCAUAAAAACGAGGUGUCAAUUUCUUGUUAGCACGGAUCUGUAUUGAAGUCUGUUGAUAUGGUUGGAGCUUGAGGUAGACCCAAUCUCAUGCUAAACUCGAGCUCUCGACGAUGCUUGUCCAAUUGGACUUUCAUCCUAUUAUGAGCAAUCACUAAAUUAUCCUUAAGCAGUCGUAGGAUUUCAUCUCUAGCGGGCAACUCUUGAUCAACCAGUGCUGCUGAUGUGGAGCCCGAUUCAUAGCGGUGCACUGAAGGAGGUGGCCAUCCAGUAUGGCCUGCCAUCAUAAUGUACACAUCGACUCCUUGACAUAGGAGUCGCUGGAUCGAAUGCAGGGUACCUGGCAGUAUGGGUGCCUUCGAGUCGCCCUCCAACUGGUACCGACGCCCUGCACCUCAAACUGCAUAGUGAGUUUCUCCCAAUCACAAAGGACCGGUCCUAAGCUCCCAAGCCACUAAAUGCCAAGGACGAUGUCUGACCUUUGGAGACCCAAGGGAUACAUGUCAACCUAGAAUAGGCACCCUCGAAUUUGAACGUCUACAGCCUUGCAGACCUCCUUGCAUGUUAAGCGGUUGCCAUCAGCCACCAUCACCAUGAAAGGUGUUGUGGGUGCGAUCUUACAAUGAAGCUUCUGAGCUAAUUGAUCAUUCAUGAAAUUAUGGAUGCUACCGUUGUCUAUCAGAAUCAAAACCGGUCGAGCCUCUACCAUCCUGGCUACUCACAUCGUCUGAGGUGAGGUACAUUCCGACAAGGCAUGAAUCGAGAUCUCGGGGUGGUCAGGCAGAUCCUGCUCUCCCUCCAUAGUCAUCUCUUCCUGCACCGACGCCUUCUCUUUUGUCUUCGAUAUUAGCAAAAAUAAUUGCUAAAACUUAUAGACAUGUUUCCGUACGAACUUCUCCUCACAGUUGUAACACUAGCCUUUCUCCCUACGAGCUUGCAUAUGUUCCCAAGUCAGGCGCCUGAGGCUAACACUUGUUGGAACCUGCGAUGGGGCCGUUGGGGGUGGGAGUCGGCUUGGCCCCACGCUCGGGGCCAGUCUGAGUGUUGGCAGGACCGGCGGCGGCUUCUACACUGGUGUAGGAAGUAGAUCCUAACGAGGUGAGUUACAUCUUACCCGAAAGAUCUUGUCUUUCUGUAGUCAUGCCAAACUUACUGCAUGUGCGCCAUCAUCUUUGGCCGGAAAAGCUUAACCUCCAAACGAAUAUCCUUCCGAAGGUCGCCUAUAAAACUUUCAAGAAGAGCCCCUUCUGGCUAGUCCUGAACCCGAGAAGCCAGCCGCUCGAACUGGCUUUGAUAAUCACGCACCGACCCCGUUUGUUGUAGUUUGGCGAGAGCUUUAUCAAAGUUUUCAUAUUCAGAUGGCCCAUACAAAUGCAGAGGGCUUGUGUGAACUGGCCAACUCGCUUGGGGAUGCGUAGUCUCAUACACUAGAACCAUUGUAGGGCUUCAUCAUGGAGAUGGAAGGAAGCCAACAGUACCUUCUCCGCAUCUGGGGUGCCUUGUUAGCAGAAGAACUGCUUGGCCUUACAUCCCGUCGGAUCUUUAUCCGUAAGUUUCCGAAAGUCCACCCGUGCGAGCCAUGGUUGAAUUGUUCCAUUGUCACCCAACAGAAUCCGUCGAGUCGAGCUCCCUGGAGACUGAGGAGGCGGACUCUCCCUGUCCUUCAUGAGGAGAGCCACAUUAGAGGUAAGGGUCUCUAGGUUAGCAUUGAUGGAUUCGAAAGCGUUCGCAUGUCGGCGUAUGGUCAUGUUGACGCUAUGGAGCUCGACCUCUACCGUCGACACGCGAUCUUCAUUUGUAACUGAGCGUGUGGAAACCAUGCUAGAUGCCAAUUAGAUACUGUAGCGAAUUGGCUACCGUAGUGACUCGACUACUGCAGCAAAUCGGCUACUGUAGCUUUGAUACCAAGUUGAUAAGAUCUGUAAGGCAGAUCUCACCGGUGGAUUGUUAGAAGAAGAGGGUGGAGAGAAAGAGAACAAGGGAGCGUGAGAAAGGGAGAGAGAGAGGGGGAGAGAGAGAGUACAUAGAAAAAUUUCAGGAUUGUUAUUCCUUUCUUUAAUGAAAAUGAUUACAACUCUUAUAGAGGUCCGGUGCCUUUAUGCCAACUAGACUCCUACCUAACUUGGCUCUUAUUAUAAUAGAAAGACAACAAAAUAAAAGACAACUAAUUAACUAAAUAAGAAGGACAAGUGGAGGUGGCCUAAAUAAGGACAACCUGAAUUAAGGCAAUUAAUUCAGGCAACUAAUUAACUGAUCCUGAAUUAAGGCAAUUAAUUCCUAAUUCCGUCCGAAUAAGGUAGAAGUGCACAAAUGGAGGUGGGUGCAAAUCUUGGCGUCUAUCAAUCUAAAAUAUAAAUGUAUGAUUCAUUUACUACUAAUUUUAUUUUCCCAGAUCAAAAAAAUUUUAUGCUCAAAACUGGAAUUUAUAGAUUCAAUGUCACAUUUAGUAAAAAUUUAUGAUCCAUAUGAGGGAGAAUAGUGAGGAAGGAGAACUAAAGAUGAAAUUUUUCUAGAGCGUUUGUAGAUUCGGCCUUGCUCGAUCUAUAGGCUGAUGGGGAGCAUCUCAAUUAGACAAGUUUUAAUGUGUAUUUUCUCAGAUGUAUAACUGACCAAUAAAUGAGAUUUUAAAAAUAUAAAACUGAAAUCAUUAUGAAAAUAUUUUCAAAUUUGUAGCAGGCCAAUGAAUGAGAUAUAAAAACGGAAUUAUUCUACAUUAAUGGCUGAAAUUUUCAAACUGAAGUCUGCCAACUUUAGUGUAAUAAUUGAUACUAAAUGGCUUAUAAAGAACUCAUUCAUUUUUCAUUUUUAUAAAAUAUACCAACAGCAUUUACCCUGCGGAGUCAGAGUAGCUCAUUGAAGAUCAUGUUGCAUUUUGUGUGAUCAACCAUGCAUAUAUAUGCAAUCCUCAUUAACUUCAAUUUUUAUUUCUUUCAGUUGGUAUCUUUGGAACUUUGUAGUCAUUUUCUUGUUGCUGAACGUUAAUGUUAUGCUCGACCUCAACCCCCUCAAA